This 407-nucleotide ribosomal RNA is filed under the name uncultured bacterium. RNAcentral's name for it is "bacterial SSU rRNA". It matches the Rfam family "Bacterial small subunit ribosomal RNA", at positions 355 to 776 of the family's 1533-position model. The record is from RNAcentral.
CAGGGAAUCUUGCGCAAUGGGCUAAUAGCCUGACGCAGCGACACCGCGUGGGGGAUGAAGGCUUUAGGGUCGUAAACCCCUUUUCUCAGGGAAGAGUAAGGACGGUACCUGAGGAAUAAGCUUCGGCUAACUACGUGCCAGCAGCCGCGGUAAUACGUAGGAAGCGAGCGUUGUCCGGAUUUAUUGGGCGUAAAGAGCGCGUAGGCGGCUCGGCAAGUCUCGUGUGAAAUCUCCCGGCUCAACUGGGAGGCGCCAUGAGAAACUGUCGGACUUGAGGGCAGCAGAGGAAGACGGAAUUCCAGGAGUAGUGGUGAAAUGCGUAGAUACCUGGAGGAACCCCAGUGGCGAAGGCGGUCUUCUGGGCUGUUACCUGACGCUGAGGCGCGAGAGCGUGGGGAGCAAACCGG